GCUUUUGCUGUACCGGGGACCACGCGUCUCAUCCAUGGCUUCCGCGGACUCGCGCCGGGUGGCAGAUGGCGGCGGUGCCGGGGGCACCUUCCAGCCCUACCUAGACACCUUGCGGCAGGAGCUGCAGCAGACGGACCCAACGCUGUUGUCAGUAGUGGUGGCGGUUCUUGCGGUGCUGCUGACGCUAGUCUUCUGGAAGUUAAUCCGGAGCAGAAGGAGCAGUCAGAGAGCUGUUCUUCUUGUUGGCCUUUGUGAUUCCGGGAAAACGUUGCUCUUUGUCAGGUUGUUAACAGGCCUUUAUAGAGACACUCAGACGUCCAUUACUGACAGCUGUGCUGUAUACAGAGUCAACAAUAACAGGGGCAAUAGUCUGACCUUGAUUGACCUUCCCGGCCAUGAGAGUUUGAGGCUUCAGUUCUUAGAGCGGUUUAAGUCUUCAGCCAGGGCUAUUGUGUUUGUUGUGGAUAGUGCAGCAUUCCAGCGAGAGGUGAAAGAUGUGGCUGAGUUUCUGUAUCAAGUCCUCAUUGACAGUAUGGGUCUGAAGAAUACACCAUCAUUCUUAAUAGCCUGCAAUAAGCAAGAUAUUGCAAUGGCAAAAUCAGCAAAGUUAAUUCAACAGCAGCUGGAGAAAGAACUCAACACCUUACGAGUUACCCGUUCUGCUGCCCCCAGCACACUGGACAGUUCCAGCACUGCCCCUGCUCAGCUGGGGAAGAAAGGCAAAGAGUUUGAAUUCUCACAGUUGCCCCUCAAAGUGGAGUUCCUGGAGUGCAGUGCCAAGGGUGGAAGAGGGGACGUGGGCUCUGCUGACAUCCAGGACUUGGAGAAAUGGCUGGCUAAAAUUGCCUGAGAGGCAGCUCUAAAGCACAAGACCUGGAUGUGUGACACACAGUUUUGGAAAAAGAGAUACUGAAACUGGUCUGGCCAUUGCUCCCCUCAGACCUGGGAACAUGACUGAAUGUUUAAGGAUGACAAGAAGAGAGCAGCGAUAGAUAGCAAGGAGGCCUCUGACCAAGGGAAACUGCUGCCAACAGCUACCAAGCCAACUAGCCUUGGAUCACACAACUGCAGCCAUGGUGCUCAUGAUUCUGAUGUCACACCUUCAUGUUGAUGUAUGUAUGAUCACCCAGCAAGUUAGGAGUGAUCAGAACCAAUGUGUUUCCACUUGUAAAUAGGCUGUUUGCUUUUUCCAUCUUACACUCAACUUUCCUGAUGCCUGCAGAACAGGAGCUUUGUUGAUAAGCUUUUAAGAUUCACCCCCUUCACUCCCACCAUCCCCAAAAAAGAAGGCCAAGAGGAUCCUGCUAAUCUGCCAGGUCACGUCUAGUCUUUGGGGAGAGGGACUGAAUUGCUCAAUUGAGAACAUUUCCUCAAAGGAAUCCUCCAAUUUGCCCUCUGCUAACCCAUCUGGAUUCAGCAAAGAUGCAAUGCUCUUGCUGGGGUGCUGAGGCAAUGCCAUGACAUCUUCUUCAAGAGCACCUAACAGUUUAUUAUGGAACCUUAACUCUGUGCCAAUUCUACCUGCAAGCAAGGGGACAGGGAUGGUGCCUGCUCAAGACAAAAAUCAGGGAACCAACAACUUCUGAAAAAGAGGUCUGGCUGCCUUUCCACACCCCAGGAAGGGAGGGGCGGAAACCGCACGUGCCGAAGGGAGCGCCAUGGAACCACUGAGAUGGGAGGAUGGGAGGAAGCCACCCUCAGCCUCAGAGGCCAAGGGGCUGGGGAGAACCCAAACUCAAAGAGAGGAUGUUGUGUGCAUGCUAGGAAAGGCAGGACUCACUAAGGCCAUGUCAAACCAAAUGCUAUCUUUUACUGCUCCUCUAGGCCAGGAUGGAAACACAGUCCACGGUGCCUUGGAUGUGUGUGCCCCUGAGAAGGGAACUGAGUUUCUACUGUUUUAUGGGAUGUUUUUUUAAAAAAGCUAAUCUUUAGUGCCAAGAAAAUAAAAAUCUACCAUACGUUCAUUCACUGAGACCCAGUGCAGAUUCCUGUAAAUGGGGCGGUCUCAGAGGCCACAGGUGAUGGCCCCCGCUGCCAACCAGGCAGGACACUGUCAUGUGGACUCCUGUAAAUUCUCUCGAGGUAAGUAAGCACUCUUCCAACAAGCACCACUUGGGGGUGUGCCCAUGGUGGGGGGACACUGGCCCACACAGGCAUGCACACCCGUGCAUAUAAAGUACAUAGAGAAAUGGUGGAGAUAUUCCCGUGGGCUAUGUUUGCCUGUAGUUUAACACAACUAUGCAUUAUUUUAUUGAUGGCAAGACAAUCACAAGUUAUUUGACAAUAUUAAGUAUUUCUUAUUUCAACACGUUGCAGUACUUUUGAAUUUCCAAAACUUAUCACAAUGCAAGUUCCAACUUGAGAGCAGGAGAAACAAGAAUAUACAUUGAGCACAUGUAUCUCCGUGAGGAUGUGUUUGUGGAAGGUGUAUACACAAGUCUAUCUCUAUAUAUAAUUAUGUACACACAUAUAAAAACUAAACACAUGACAUCUGAAACACGUUCAAACAUUGGUCCUUGCCUUCUGCAAGAGGUGCUCAGUGGGAUCCUGCUUCCUCUCUUCUUCACCUGAAGAUAAAUUCCUUGCUAGAGAUGAGCUCUGGCAUACAGCCUCCUAGGCAGAGGGUGUGUGGCAGGCCCACUGCACAAAUAUCAGUCCUGCCAGAUUCUGCUGCACUUACUGCCUGCCAUUUCAGAUUAAUUUCUGAGAAGUUUCAAAAUUCAUUCCAACGACCUUGUGGAGUUCAGCCCACCAUACCCCAGAUGGUCAUUCAUCCCAUCUAUGACAUGCCCAGCAGCAGCCUGGAGGGAGAGCCAAUGACAGCAGGGAGGGUGGGGUUUACAUUUUGGCCAGACUCACUGCCCAUUGCACCUGGCUCUGUGCAGGCUCAGGGCAGUGAGUCUGAGUCUAUUUGGAAUGCUGGCCAAGUAGGUUAUAUCACUUAGUGGGAAGAGAGAGUUCUCUUCAGAGACUUUGCAGAUUCUCAGGACUAAGCCAUUCUCAGGAAUGAAUCAAAAAUGGAAGAGAUGGCUCUCUGGGGGCAAGCAGCCUUCUGGAGACCCCACCUGAACCACAUCCUCAGGUGACCACAGCGCAGCCACAGUAGCCACAAAGAUAUGUCCACAAAGACUUCAACUGCGCCAUGCCACUGGGGUGAAAACAUAGCAACAAAUCAGCUUUUCCAGAAAGCACUCAACAAUAUUAGCAGCUGAGGCUCUAAGAACAUGGAUCUUUCAAGGUGGUGGUUCUGCAGACAACACCCCCCCCCCCCCCCGCCUCCCCAUCACAGAGGAUCAACUCCAGGUGGUCCAGCUUCCCUGACAUCCAGGAGGAAGGCUUCAGGAUGGCACACUGCCCAACAUCACACACUGAGUUUCUUAGACUUGGCCCAGGCAUGUGUACUGACUGCUGGGUGGGCUGGUUAAAAUAUUUUCAGAAGUACACAUGGCACCCCAGUCUAUAAACCACGCACCACGCAGCUGCAAUUGCCAACAGCACCUCGUCCUUCUGAUGGCCUCUUGCUCUGCCAGUCCCUGAGGGCACAGAGAACACAAGGUUGCCUGUACCCUCAACCCCCUUCAAGGCUUUUCAGGGAAAGAGAAGGAGAGGUGGGAGCAGUUCCUCUGGGGGCUGCUGCCGGGCUGCCUAGAGCCCACAGACCUUGGUCUCAGCUCCACACGAGGUUGACGACCCACUCUGGCCAUGGAAAGACAAGAGUCAGAGCUACCUUUUCAGAGGCUGAUGUGUUCAACCAAUGUUUGAUUUAACUGGAGUAGGGCCUAGAGAGUGGGGCCAGAUGGCCCCAGACUGAAGCCUAAUUAAUUUGCUCAGUUAAUUGUUUUAAUUUAUUGGGCUGGGGAUAGGAGGAAGGCAGAGGUGAUGAAUGGUUCAAAGAGAACAGGAAGGAGGAGGUGUGUGGAAAAGGUUCUCUAUAAGUUUACAAAUAUACAAAAACAAAAAGCACAUCUUUCAAAUAAAAAUGACUACAUUUUUAUCUGGCAAAAAAUUGUAUACACAUGAUUUAAAUUUUUUUUAAAUUUUAACAGUUUUUGGCAAUCUUAAUAAAGUACAAUAUAUUACAACCAAA
This is an RNA transcript of Homo sapiens (human), 4087 nucleotides long. It is a transcript of the gene named SRP receptor subunit beta, with no coding region annotated. The transcript has 8 exons. The record is from RefSeq and is marked reviewed. Lineage: Eukaryota; Metazoa; Chordata; Mammalia; Primates; Hominidae.